RNAcentral lists this unclassified non-coding RNA (329 nucleotides) under soil metagenome. Its description in RNAcentral is "partial contains 5.8S ribosomal RNA, internal transcribed spacer 2, and large subunit ribosomal RNA". The stretch from base 1 to 120 matches the Rfam family "5.8S ribosomal RNA", at positions 35 to 154 of the family's 154-position model. The record is from RNAcentral.
GAUGAAGAACGUAGCGAAAUGCGAUAAGUAGUGUGAAUUGCAGAAUUCAGUGAACCAUCGAAUCUUUGAACGCACAUUGCGCCCCUUGGUAUCCCGAGGGGCAUGCCUGUUCGAGCGUCAUUUCACCACUCAAGCCUGGCUUGGUGUUGGGCGACGUCCCCUUUGGGGACGCGCCUCGAAACGCUCGGCGGCGUGGCACCGGCUUUAAGCGUAGCAGAAUCUUUCGCUUUGGAAGUCGGGGCCCCGUCUGCCGGAAGACCUACUCGCAAGGUUGACCUCGGAUCAGGCAGGGAUACCCGCUGAACUUAAGCAUAUCAAUAAGCGGAGGA